This 496-nucleotide ribosomal RNA is filed under the name uncultured bacterium. RNAcentral describes it as "bacterial SSU rRNA". It matches the Rfam family "Bacterial small subunit ribosomal RNA", at positions 34 to 518 of the family's 1533-position model. The record is from RNAcentral.
CGCUGGCGGCGCGUCUUAAGCAUGCAAGUCGAACGGCAAGAGGUAGCAAUACCUCCUAGAGUGGCGGACUGGUGAGUAACACGUGGGUGACAUACCCUUCAGAUGGGGAUAGCUAUUAGAAAUAGUAGAUAAUACCGAAUACGAGCACAGGGGUUAGAGAUCUGUGAGGAAAGGAGCUAAGGCUCCGCUGAAGGAAUGGCCUGCGGCCCAUUAGCUAGUUGGUGAGGUAAGAGCCCACCAAGGCGAUGAUGGGUAUCCGGCCUUAGAGGGUGAACGGACACAUUGGGACUGAGAUACGGCCCAGACUCCUACGGGAGGCAGCAGCUAAGAAUAUUCCGCAAUGGACGAAAGUCUGACGGAGCGACGCCGCCGUGGAUGGAGAAGGCCGGAAGGUUGUAAAAUCCUUUUGAAACUGAAGAAUAAGCGUUGUAGGGAAUGACAGCGUGGUGACAGUAGGUUUUGAAUAAGCAACGGCUAAUUACGUGCCAGCCGCCGC